Long non-coding RNA from Cuculus canorus (common cuckoo), 1298 nucleotides. RefSeq lists it as uncharacterized. The transcript has 4 exons. The record is from RefSeq and is a predicted model, not a curated record. Lineage: Eukaryota; Metazoa; Chordata; Aves; Cuculiformes; Cuculidae.
CCAUUCCUGGAGGAGGAGAAGAAGAGGAGGAGGUGGUGGUGGUGGGAACUUCAGGAGAUGAGGAGGUGGCGCCCGGGGAACCUGCGGGGAGGAGAAGGCCAAAAAUGAAGGGUGGAGAAGGGAGAAGUCGAGGAGGGGUCCAAAAAUUCAGGGGUGGAGGGCCAAAAAGGAAGGGUGGAGACACAAAAAUGGAGGUUGGAGAUCUAAAAAUGAAGGUUGGAGACCAAAAAAUGAAGGUUGGAGGUCCAAAAAUGAGAGUUGGAGACCAAAAAAUGAAGGUUGGGGAUCAAAAAAUGAAGGGUGGAGACCAAAAAAUGAAGGUUGGAGGUCCAAAAAUGAGGGUUGGAGACCAAAAAAUGAAGGUUGGGGAUCAAAAAAUGAAGGGUGGAGACCAAAAAAUGAAGGUUGGAGACCAAAAAUGAAGGUUGGACAUCUAAAAAUGAAGGUUGGAGACCAAAAAAUGAAGGUUGGAAGUCCAAAAAUGAAGGUUGGAGACCAAAAAAUGAAGGGUGGGGACCAAAAAUGAAGGGUGGAGACCAAAAAAUGAAGGUUGGAGGUCCAAAAAUGAAGGUUGGAGACCAAAAAAUGAAGGGUGGAGACCAAAAAAUGAAGGUUGGAGGUCCAAAAAUGGAGGGUGGGGACCAAAAAUGAAGGGUGGAGCCCAAAAAAUGAAGGUUGGAGACCAAAAAUGAAGGGUGGAGACCAAAAAAUGAAGGGUGGAGACCAAAAAAUGAAGGGUGGAGACCAAAAAAUGAAGGUUGGAGGUCCAAAAAUGGAGGGUGGGGACCAAAAAAUGAAGGGUGGAGAUCAAAAAAGAAGGGUGGAGGUCCAAAAAUGGAGGGUGGGGACCAAAAAAUGAAGGGUGGAGGUCCAAAAAUGAAGGGUGGAGACACAAAAAUGAAGGUUGGAGCCCAAAAUUGAGGGUUUGAGACCCCCAAAUGAGAGUUGGAGACCCCAAUAUGAGACUUGAGGACCCAAAAAUGAGGUUUGGAGACCCAAAAAUGAAGGUUGGAGGUCCAAAAAUGAAGGUUGGAGACACCAAAAUGAAGGUUGGAGGCCCAAAAAUUAGGGUUUGGGACCCAAAAAGGAGAGUUGAGGACCCAAAAAUGAGGAUUGGAGACCCAAAAAUGAGAGUUGGAGAUCCAAAAAUGAAGGUUGGAAGUCCAAAAUGAGGUUUGGAGACCCCAAAAUCAAAGUUGGGGACCCAAAAAUCAAGGUUGGAGCCCAAAAAUGAAGGUUGGAGACACCAAAAUGAAGGUUGGAGACCCCAAAAUGAGGUUUGGAGACCCAAAAAUGAG